This 250-nucleotide ribosomal RNA is filed under the name uncultured prokaryote. Its description in RNAcentral is "partial 16S ribosomal RNA". It matches the Rfam family "Bacterial small subunit ribosomal RNA", at positions 524 to 773 of the family's 1533-position model. The record is from RNAcentral.
UACGUAGGUGGCGAGCGUUAUCCGGAUUUAUUGGGUUUAAAGGGUGCGUAGGCGGUUGGACAAGUCAGCGGUGAAACGCAAGGGCUCAACCCUUGACCUGCCGUUGAAACUGUUGGACUAGAAUGCGGAUGCUGUGGGAGGAAUGUGUGGUGCAGCGGUGAAAUGCAUAGAUAUCACACAGAACACCGAUUGCGAAGGCAUCUCACAAAUCCGUGAUUGACGCUGAGGCACGAAAGUGUGGGGAUCAAAC